This 500-nucleotide ribosomal RNA is filed under the name uncultured bacterium. Its description in RNAcentral is "partial 16S ribosomal RNA". It matches the Rfam family "Bacterial small subunit ribosomal RNA", at positions 28 to 507 of the family's 1533-position model. The record is from RNAcentral.
GACGAACGCUGGCGGCGUGCUUAACACAUGCAAGUCGAACGGGUCUGCCCUGUUUUUUGCGGGGUGGGUCAGUGGCGAACGGGUGAGUAACACGUGAGUAACCUGCCCCUCACUUCUGGAUAACCGCUUGAAAGGGUGGCUAAUACGGGGUGUUCUGGCUGUGCCGCAUGGUGUGGCUGGGAAAGAUUCACUUUUGUGGUGUUUUGGUGGGGGAUGGGCUCGCGGCCUAUCAGCUUGUUGGUGGGGUGAUGGCCUGCCAAGGCUUUGACGGGUAGCCGGCCUGAGAGGGUGGGCGGUCACACUGGGACUGAGAUACGGCCCAGACUCCUGCGGGAGGCAGCAGUGGGGGGUAUUGCACAAUGGGCGGAAGCCUGAUGCAGCGACGUCGCGUGAGGGAUGGAGGCCUCCGGGUUGUGAACCUCUUUCGCCGGUGAAGAAGGUCCUGCUCUUUGUGGUGGGGUUGACGGUAGCCGGGUUAUGAAGCGCCGGCUAACUACGUG